Notechis scutatus (mainland tiger snake) is the source of this 373-nucleotide non-coding RNA. The record is from RefSeq and is a predicted model, not a curated record. Lineage: Eukaryota; Metazoa; Chordata; Lepidosauria; Squamata; Elapidae.
CUAGUUGCAGACAUUUCAUAUUGCUAAAUCCUGCAGAGAAGUACAGGACUUAACAAAUGGUGUAGCACUGGCAUAUGUUCUUCAUGAAAUCGAUCCUGCUUGGUUUGACAAAACUUGGCUAAGCCGUAUUAAAGUAGAUGCUGGUGAAAGCUGGAGAAUAAAGGCUAGCAAUUUGAAGAAGAUUCUUCAAGGAAUUAUGGAUUAUUAUCAUGAGUUUUUGGCUCAGCAAAUCUCAGAAGAUCUUCUUCCUGAUUUAAACCAAAUAUCUGAACAUUCUAAUCCAGUAGAGCUUGGCAGGUUAUUGCAGCUCAUUUUAGGCUGUGCAGUCAACUGUGAAAAGAAGCAAGAACAUAUACAAGUUAUAAUGACACUA